CUAGUGUGGGUAUCAGUAUCCAGAUGUGUAAUAAAAAUUAUUAAAAAUAGUCUUUCUUACAUUUUAUAUAAAAAGUAUAAAUAGAAAUUCUAAUAUACUUUUCUAUAUUCCAGCGGAUUGUCUUGCAUAUUCCCUUGUUCCUAAAGAUUUGUGCCAGAAGACAAAUAAGAAUGAACUCUAGUGUGCUCCUUUUAAAAUUCUCCAUCAUCUGUGUCAUCUGGCACUAAUCCUGGAUACUUUGACCCUCCUUCCAAAAUAAUAUACUUCCUCAUUUAGACCACGGCUUGGAAGGCUAAGGAAUGGCAGUCACUCCUCAACAACGCAGCAGCCCAGAUAUCAAAAUCCUGCUUCUGAGAAGAGUGCCAGUGACAUGUUUAAAAGACCCAUUUUAACAGGAAAAGUUACAAAGCCAA
RNAcentral lists this long non-coding RNA (413 nucleotides) under Equus caballus (horse). Its description in RNAcentral is "lncRNA (ENSECAG00000051564.1)". Lineage: Eukaryota; Metazoa; Chordata; Mammalia; Perissodactyla; Equidae. The record is from RNAcentral.